UGAGGAAUCUUCCACAAUGGGCGAAAGCCUGAUGGAGCGACGCCGCGUGCAGGAUGAAGGCCUUCGGGUUGUAAACUGCUUUUAUAAGUGAAGAAUAUGACGGUAACUUAUGAAUAAGCACCGGCUAACUACGUGCCAGCAGCCGCGGUCAUACGUAGGGUGCAAGCAUUAUCCGGAGUGACUGGGCGUAAAGAGUUGCGUAGGUGGUUUGUUAAGUGAAUAGUGAAAUCUGGGGGCUCAACCUCACAGGCUAUUAUUCAAACUGGCAAACUCGAGAAUGGUAGAGGUAACUGGAAUUUCUUGUGUAGGAGUGAAAUCCGUAGAUAUAAGAAGGAACACCAAUGGCGUAGGCAGGUUACUGGACCAUUUCUGACACUGAGGCACGAAAGCGUGGGGAGCGAACGGGAUUAGAUACCCCCGUAGUCC
Molecule: ribosomal RNA, 426 nt
Filed under: uncultured bacterium
Lineage: Bacteria
Description: bacterial SSU rRNA
Rfam family: Bacterial small subunit ribosomal RNA
Source: RNAcentral